This 253-nucleotide ribosomal RNA is filed under the name uncultured bacterium. Its description in RNAcentral is "partial 16S ribosomal RNA". It matches the Rfam family "Bacterial small subunit ribosomal RNA", at positions 524 to 776 of the family's 1533-position model. The record is from RNAcentral.
UACAGAGGGUGCGAGCGUUAAUCGGAAUUACUGGGCGUAAAGCGCGCGUAGGCGGCUUUGCAAGUCGGGUGUGAAAUCCCCGGGCUUAACCUGGGAACUGCAUUCGAGACUGCAUUGCUAGAGUAUGGGAGAGGGAAGUGGAAUUUCCGGUGUAGCGGUGAAAUGCGUAGAUAUCGGAAGGAACAUCAGUGGCGAAAGCGACUUCCUGGACCAAUACUGACGCUCAUGUGCGAAAGCGUGGGGAGCAAACAGG